CUGACAAAUUUGAAGACUGAAGUCCUCUGUUUCUCCACAGAACUGAUACAGCAUAGACUGUGGUAUAGCGUUUUCUCCACACCCUGUAGCAUGACUGGAUUUGUCCUACAACGGUCACUAUAGUAGCAUUUCAGGUUAUACAAUUCAGAUCAGAUCCUCA
Molecule: small RNA, 160 nt
Filed under: Chelonoidis abingdonii (Abingdon island giant tortoise)
Lineage: Eukaryota; Metazoa; Chordata; Testudines; Testudinidae
Description: TUC338 (ENSCABG00000015980.1)
Source: RNAcentral